ACCUGCCUCAAAGAGGGGAAUAGCCUCCCGAAAGGGAGAUUAAUACCGCAUAAUAUGUUUUGAUCGCAUGAUCGAAACAUCAAAGGAUUUUUCUUUUAGAAACUUCCACUUUGAGAUGGACCCGCGGCGCAUUAGCUAGUUGGUGAGGUAACGGCUCACCAAGGCGACGAUGCGUAGCCGACCUGAGAGGGUGAUCGGCCACAUUGGAACUGAGACACGGUCCAGACUCGUGCGGGAGGCAGCAGUGGGGAAUAU
RNAcentral lists this ribosomal RNA (255 nucleotides) under uncultured bacterium. RNAcentral describes it as "partial 16S ribosomal RNA". It matches the Rfam family "Bacterial small subunit ribosomal RNA", at positions 124 to 364 of the family's 1533-position model. The record is from RNAcentral.